RNAcentral lists this ribosomal RNA (253 nucleotides) under uncultured bacterium. RNAcentral describes it as "partial 16S ribosomal RNA". It matches the Rfam family "Bacterial small subunit ribosomal RNA", at positions 524 to 776 of the family's 1533-position model. The record is from RNAcentral.
UACGGGGGGAGCAAGCGUUGUUCGGAUUUACUGGGCGUAAAGGGCGCGUAGGCGGCGCAACAAGUCACUUGUGAAAUCUCCGGGCUUAACUCGGAACGGUCAAGUGAUACUGUUGUGCUAGAGUGCGGAAGGGGCAACUGGAAUUCUCGGUGUAGCGGUGAAAUGCGUAGAUAUCGAGAGGAACACCUGCGGCGAAGGCGGGUUGCUGGGCCGACACUGACGCUGAUGCGCGAAAGCGUGGGGAGCGAACAGG